UUAAAUACCCGCAGGGGGGCACUUGGCGCUCUCUCGGCCUUAGCGCCAUCUUCUUAGAAACCUCUGCGCCAUGAGAGCCAAGUGGAGGAAGAAGCGAAUGCGCAGGCUGAAGCGCAAAAGAAGAAAGAUGAGGCAGAGGUCCAAGUAAACCGCCAGCUUGAGCACCCGUGGAAGCCACAGGAGCAGAAAUGAGGGAAGCCACAGGCCAGGGACACUGGUACAAAUUGUUCGACUGCAUGCCUGCUUUGACGACAGCUCGAUGGAUGUAGAACAUACAUUGCCAUCUGAUCGCCGUGACCACCCUUGGAGAGACCCACGCAGCUCUUAAAACGACAGUCCCUUUUGGUCCUUUGCCCUGGACCUGUGACAUUCUGGACUGGUUCUGUUCUCAUUUGUGGCUGAAUGUGUACAAUAAAUCAUCUCUUCUUACCUGAAGAAAACAA
Pteronotus mesoamericanus is the source of this 443-nucleotide long non-coding RNA. RefSeq lists it as uncharacterized. Lineage: Eukaryota; Metazoa; Chordata; Mammalia; Chiroptera; Mormoopidae. The record is from RefSeq and is a predicted model, not a curated record. The transcript has 4 exons.